Molecule: ribosomal RNA, 312 nt
Filed under: uncultured Glomeromycotina
Lineage: Eukaryota; Fungi; Glomeromycota
Description: SSU rRNA
Rfam family: Eukaryotic small subunit ribosomal RNA
Source: RNAcentral
AGCAGCCGCGGUAAUUCCAGCUCCAAUAGCGUAUAUUAAAGUUGCUGCAGUUAAAAAGCUCGUAGUUGAAUUUCGGGACCAUCAUGUCGGUCGUGCCUCGGUACGUACUGGCAUUGUUGGUUUCUCCCUUCUGACGAACCAUGAUGUCAUUUAUUUGGUGUUGUGGGGAAUCAGGACUGUUACUUUGAAAAAAUUAGAGUGUUUAAAGCAGGCUCACGCUUGAAUACAUUAGCAUGGAAUAAUGAAAUAGGACGUUUGAUUCUAUUUUGUUGGUUUCUAGGAUCGACGUAAUGAUUAAUAGGGAUAGUUGGG